This 569-nucleotide ribosomal RNA is filed under the name uncultured Actinomycetes bacterium. RNAcentral's name for it is "bacterial SSU rRNA". It matches the Rfam family "Bacterial small subunit ribosomal RNA", at positions 338 to 916 of the family's 1533-position model. Lineage: Bacteria; Bacillati; Actinomycetota; Actinomycetes. The record is from RNAcentral.
CCUACGGGAGGCAGCAGUUGGAAUAUUGCGCAAUGGGCGAAAGCCUGACGCAGCAACGCCGCGUGCGGGAUGACGGCCUUCGGGUUGUAAACCGCUUUCAGCAGGGAAGAAGCCGCAAGGUGACGGUACCUGCAGAAGAAGCACCGGCUAACUACGUGCCAGCAGCCGCGGUAAUACGUAGGGUGCAAGCGUUGUCCGGAUUUAUUGGGCGUAAAGAGCUCGUAGGCGGUCUGUUACGUCGGUUGUGAAAACUCGGGGCUUAACCCCGAGCCUGCAUCCGAUACGGGCAGACUUGAGUGUGGUAGGGGAGACUGGAAUUCCUGGUGUAGCGGUGAAAUGCGCAGAUAUCAGGAGGAACACCGAUGGCGAAGGCAGGUCUCUGGGCCACAACUGACGCUGAGGAGCGAAAGCGUGGGGAGCAAACAGGAUUAGAUACCCUGGUAGUCCACGCCGUAAACGGUGGGCGCUAGGUGUGGGGAACAUUCCACGUUCUCCGUGCCGCAGCUAACGCAUUAAGCGCCCCGCCUGGGGAGUACGGCCGCAAGGCUAAAACUCAAAGGAAUUGACGG